RNAcentral lists this ribosomal RNA (1453 nucleotides) under Shigella sonnei. Its description in RNAcentral is "partial 23S ribosomal RNA". It matches the Rfam family "Bacterial large subunit ribosomal RNA", at positions 290 to 1751 of the family's 2925-position model. Lineage: Bacteria; Pseudomonadati; Pseudomonadota; Gammaproteobacteria; Enterobacterales; Enterobacteriaceae. The record is from RNAcentral.
ACGGGGAGCAGCCCAGAGCCUGAAUCAGUGUGUGUGUUAGUGGAAGCGUCUGGAAAGGCGCGCGAUACAGGGUGACAGCCCCGUACACAAAAAUGCACAUAUUGUGAGCUCGAUGAGUAGGGCGGGACACGUGGUAUCCUGUCUGAAUAUGGGGGGCCCAUCCUCCAAGGCUAAAUACUCCUGACUGACCGAUAGUGAACCAGUACCGUGAGGGAAAGGCGAAAAGAACCCCGGCGAGGGGAGUGAAAAAGAACCUGAAACCGUGUACGUACAAGCAGUGGGAGCACGCUUAGGCGUGUGACUGCGUACCUUUUGUAUAAUGGGUCAGCGACUUAUAUUCUGUAGCAAGGUUAACCGAAUAGGGGAGCCGAAGGGAAACCGAGUCUUAACUGGGCGUUAAGUUGCAGGGUAUAGACCCGAAACCCGGUGAUCUAGCCAUGGGCAGGUUGAAGGUUGGGUAACACUAACUGGAGGACCGAACCGACUAAUGUUGAAAAAUUAGCGGAUGACUUGUGGCUGGGGGUGAAAGGCCAAUCAAACCGGGAGAUAGCUGGUUCUCCCCGAAAGCUAUUUAGGUAGCGCCUCGUGAAUUCAUCUCCGGGGGUAGAGCACUGUUUCGGCAAGGGGGUCAUCCCGACUUACCAACCCGAUGCAAACUGCGAAUACCGGAGAAUGUUAUCACGGGAGACACACGGCGGGUGCUAACGUCCGUCGUGAAGAGGGAAACAACCCAGACCGCCAGCUAAGGUCCCAAAGUCAUGGUUAAGUGGGAAACGAUGUGGGAAGGCCCAGACAGCCAGGAUGUUGGCUUAGAAGCAGCCAUCAUUUAAAGAAAGCGUAAUAGCUCACUGGUCGAGUCGGCCUGCGCGGAAGAUGUAACGGGGCUAAACCAUGCACCGAAGCUGCGGCAGCGACGCUUAUGCGUUGUUGGGUAGGGGAGCGUUCUGUAAGCCUGCGAAGGUGUGCUGUGAGGCAUGCUGGAGGUAUCAGAAGUGCGAAUGCUGACAUAAGUAACGAUAAAGCGGGUGAAAAGCCCGCUCGCCGGAAGACCAAGGGUUCCUGUCCAACGUUAAUCGGGGCAGGGUGAGUCGACCCCUAAGGCGAGGCCGAAAGGCGUAGUCGAUGGGAAACAGGUUAAUAUUCCUGUACUUGGUGUUACUGCGAAGGGGGGACGGAGAAGGCUAUGUUGGCCGGGCGACGGUUGUCCCGGUUUAAGCGUGUAGGCUGGUUUUCCAGGCAAAUCCGGAAAAUCAAGGCUGAGGCGUGAUGACGAGGCACUACGGUGCUGAAGCAACAAAUGCCCUGCUUCCAGGAAAAGCCUCUAAGCAUCAGGUAACAUCAAAUCGUACCCCAAACCGACACAGGUGGUCAGGUAGAGAAUACCAAGGCGCUUGAGAGAACUCGGGUGAAGGAACUAGGCAAAAUGGUGCCGUAACUUCGGGAGAAGGCACGC